CUUUUGUGAUCAUUAGGGAGUUGACUACGUCGUACUUUUGUGGUGAGAUAGCUUCCUAAUUUUUUGAAUUUCUAGUUGCAGGUCUGGCUCGGUAUGCUUGGAUGUUAUUAAUCAAUCAUGGAGUCCAAUGUUUGAUCUUUUAAAUGUUUUUGAAGUUUUUCUUCCUCAGCUUUUGCUCUACCUAAAUCCUUCAGAUCCACUAAACGGCGAUGCAGCUUCAUUAAUGAUGAAGGAUAGAAAACAGUUUGAUCAAAAAGUGAAAGCCUGAAAGAGUACUGUGAGCGAUAUGCGAAAAAGGAGAACAUCAUGAACUCGAAAUCUGAUGACGAAAGUGGUGAAGAGGAGAUCAGUGAUGAGGAAAGCGGAUCAAGUGAUGAUGAAAUUGCUGGCCCCGUAAUCAAGUUAAAUGCUCUUUAUCUUUAAUCUUCUUGUAGAGACAGCAAUAGAUCUUCUAGUUCUAGUCCAUUCUUUCCAUUGUAUUUUAGUCGUAUAACUGCACACAUUUGCUUGUAAAAUUAUGUUGACAAAAACCAUUGCCUUUAUGAAAGCUGUUGUUUGACCAAUGUUGAAGUUUUUGUUA
This is a long non-coding RNA of Tripterygium wilfordii, 580 nucleotides long. RefSeq lists it as uncharacterized. The record is from RefSeq and is a predicted model, not a curated record. NCBI's taxonomy places the organism in Eukaryota, Viridiplantae, Streptophyta, Magnoliopsida, Celastrales, Celastraceae. The transcript has 3 exons.